Pangasius djambal is the source of this 72-nucleotide non-coding RNA. The record is from the annotation of a GenBank genome assembly. NCBI's taxonomy places the organism in Eukaryota, Metazoa, Chordata, Actinopteri, Siluriformes, Pangasiidae.
UCCCUGAAGGACUAGUGGUUAGGCCACAGCGCUCUUACGGCUGUGGCCCGGGCUCAAUUCCUGGCCAGGGAA